AAGUCGUAACAAGGUUUCCGUAGGUGAACCUGCGGAAGGAUCAUUACAAAUCUUUUGCGAGUGUUACGUGCUUAACUGUGCGUAACAUCUCACAACAUUAGCACAAGGUCGCAAGGCCUUGAUGUUUACGCUUGUUUUGUUUGACAGAGUUAGUUGAUAAUAAAAAAAGACAACUUUUAACAAUGGAUCUCUUGGCUCUU
This 200-nucleotide unclassified non-coding RNA is filed under the name fungal sp. Its description in RNAcentral is "partial internal transcribed spacer region". The stretch from base 1 to 46 matches the Rfam family "Eukaryotic small subunit ribosomal RNA", at positions 1786 to 1831 of the family's 1831-position model. The record is from RNAcentral. RNAcentral also lists the same sequence under 1 other name. Lineage: Eukaryota; Fungi.